Magallana angulata is the source of this 3829-nucleotide RNA transcript. RefSeq lists it as uncharacterized. The transcript is spliced from 2 exons. NCBI's taxonomy places the organism in Eukaryota, Metazoa, Mollusca, Bivalvia, Ostreida, Ostreidae. The record is from RefSeq and is a predicted model, not a curated record.
AUCAUAUACAUGAAGUAACCUUUUUAGGCCUUGAAAUUUGAAAGCAUUUAGAUUAUUUAGUUAAUCAAAGAUUCCCCCCUGAAACAAGCAUGGCGUCUCGAUCCGAAUAAAAACUCCGAAUUCCAUUAUGGCGCUUGAAGACGCACAAACAAUCCGGACUGACUGUUUCAUGUGGUUUUAUAAGAUAUUUUGAUUAUAUCCUCGGGACAUGUUUAGGGUAUUGCCAUAGAAAUCACAAUUCCUUUACAAAAGGUAUAGGCAAGAGAGCAUUGUUGCAACCACUAUUGAAAUAAAACCACUAUUGAAAUAAAUUAUUUCAAUAGUGGUUGGGAAUGUAUUUUAUUUGAAGAAUCACUUUACAACCACUAUUGAAAUAAAAUAUUUAAAUAGUGUUCCGGGAUGUAUUCCAUUUUGAAAAUCAAUUUACAGACACUGUUGAAGUACAACUACUAUUAGAAUUAUUUUUUUCAAUCGUAGCUUAGAAUGAAUUUCUUAAUUAAUAUUACUUUUAAAAUUUAUAUUUUUUCCUUUACAUUUCUCUUUCUACAUACAUAUUAUGUCCUAUAAUAAUGUAUAUUAUUUGCACAAUAAUGAACAUUUUGUAAAUGCCAGAACUUCUAUUCAAACCCCAUGUAUAUUGAAUAAUUAUUUGUUGAUAAAUAUCAUUAUAAAUAUCACUAUUAAUAUAAAUUAUUUCAAUAGUGGGUGGGGGUGUACUUCACUACGACCACUAUUGAAAUAUAUUAUAUCAAUAGUGGUAAAGGAUGCGAUUCAUUUCAAUCACUAUUGAAAUAAUUUAUUUCAAUAGUGGUUGGGGAUACCUUUCAUUUCAACCACUAUUGAAAUAAAGUAUUUCAAUAGUGGUUGGUGAUGCAUUUCAGUUUUAUGUCUAUUAUUAUGUCUGUUUGUAACACUUUCCUUUCUGCUAGGGUAGUUUCUUAAGAAAAGAAGUAUGUCUUAUGAGAUGAUGAAUUCCUUUUUAUUAUGAUGUUCUUUGAUUUACCUCUAUAUAUAUGGUAAUGUUUCCCAUACCGCCUGUCAUCUGGAACAGAAAGUGUUAUGCACAGUCGGAAUAAUAGUCAUUAAAAUAAUAUCCUACCACUAUUGAGAUACUUUAUUUCAAUAAUGGUUGUAAUGAGCCGCAUCCUUAACCACAAUUGAAAUAAAUUAUUUCAAUAGUGGUUGUAAUGAAAUACAUACCUGACCACUAUUGAAAUAAUUUAUUUCAAUAGUGGUUAUGAUGAAACGCAUACCCAACCACUAUUGAAAUAAUUUAUUUCAUUCAAUAUUGCUCUUAAUGAAGUACAUCCCCAACCAUUAUUAAAAUCAUAUAUCUUAAUAGUGAUAUUCAUUAUUACAUAAAUCUACAAUGAUAUAUAAGCUAUAAAUUACUUUUUAAUAUCCAGGGGUUUUGAAUAGAAGUUCUUGCAAUUUACAACGUUGUCGUCUAGUACAAAUAAUUUACAAUUUCCAUAAAACAUGAUAUAUCUAUAGAAAGAGAAAGGUAAAGAAAAAAAUAUGAAAACAAUUCUAUAUGUAAAUCUGCGAGGAUUGGUUAUUUCUGCACAACAGUGAAAAUGAUAAAAUAAGUACAUUCAUAUCAUAGUCUUUACUACUAUUGUAUAUGCAUGUUUAUCUGCGAGAAUUGGUUAUUUACUUCUACGCAGCAGUGAAAAUUGUAACAUAAUUGUGUAUUUGAUAUUAUUUGUUAGAUUUCUUGCUUUUCAAAAUAGUUUGCAAAUAUGAUAUACAACUUCUUUCUUUCCAAAUGUGUUACAAUAGUGAUUACAUAGUUAUAUUCAUAAAGUAAUUCAUCCCCACCUACGAUUAAAAAAAAUAAAUUUAAUAGUAGUUGAACUUUAAUGGUGUCUGUAAAGUAGUUCUUAUCAUAAAAUACAUCCCCAACUUCUAUUAGAAUCAUUAUUUCAAUAGUGGUUGUAUUUCAAUAGUGGUUGCAAGGUGAUUUUUCUGAUGAAAUACAUUUCCAACCACUAUUGAAAUAAUUUAUUUCAAUAGUGGUUGUAUUUCAAUAGUGGUUGCAAGGUGAUUUUUCUGAUGAAAUACAUUUCCAACCACUAUUGAAAUAAUUUAUUUCAAUAGUGGUUUUAUUUCAAUAGUGGUUUAUUUCAAUAGUGGUUGCAACAGAGCAUAUUUUCAGCGCGUUCAUGAAUAUAAGCCAUCUGUCAUUUUGUGUGCUCUUAUUGCUAGUAACAUGAUUCUUAUAAUUUAAGAAGAGAAAUUAUUGCUCAUAUAUCAAUUCAAACACAAAUAUUUAAGUUUGGGAGUUGUCUUAAACCAUGCGAGAAAUACAAUUAAAAAAAUAAUCUAUUUAACUACCGAGCAGGAUUUGAUGCGUCCCGAAAGACUCUACGAAAACUUGCACCCCCACCCCACCCCACUCCACAUAAAACACAAUAUAUCUAAUUACGCUUCACGGAACCUAUGUUUUUUUUUGCUUCCUUGUGAAGAUUUUCUGGAUGAGUCUGCCCCCCCCCCCACUUUCAAAAAUGAUGUUACGUGACUGACCAAAAUCUUGUGAGAAGGCCUGCGGGCCUUCUGUUUACAAACUGUUUACUUACUAUAAUUGCUCGUUUGUGACGCAUGCUGGAAUAUGUUGAAGGAGAGAAAAGUUCCGGGUUAUUGAGAGCCAUUGAAAAAAAAAAAGGAAAUUGUAGGAGUUUUGUUUGCAGACUUUAACACGUGUGUUUGUGUGCAUGCGUGUGUGUUUUUUCAUCUCUUGGUCGCCUUUGGAUGCACAGGGACCAAACUCGUUUUAACAUUUAUUUCAAUGUAACCUUUCAAGAGAAAAGAGUAGCAGAGCGGAUCGUCACCCGGCCUUGGCUAGCGCAGAUGGCUAUAAUGAUAGCUCAGUUUGAGGCAAAAUGUGACGGGUUUUUGUCUCUGUUUUGUAGGCCUGUAUUGAUGGGGUAGUCGGAUAUACUUUCAAUCCAAUACACAUAGAAGAAGAUGAACAGAAAAUCAUUUUGCCUGAUUUUUGCCGGUUGCUUGAUGACGUUGCUCUUCACAGAUUGCGAUGGACAACCAUUCGGAAUCCCGAUCCCGAAGAAUCGCUACAUGUUGCUCGCCCGGAAGUUAAAAGCUCAGCCAAUGGACCCGAAUGCAUGGACCGCGUCCAAAUACUUAAAAUGGCGGGCAAUGUAUGGAAAACGAAGUUUACCGGCAGACGACGACUACUACAGCUUCUGACGUCAUGGACUGACCGAUAACACUUUUGAAGAUUGCAUGACGAAUUAUUUCCACAGAGUACCAAACCGGAUCUCUUUAACACAGUCAUAAUUAUUUUCAAGCUUUCGUAUUUGUUGUUUUGAUGUCAUGGUUCCUUGAAAAUUGAUAAUAACUGAAUUUCAUAUAAACAAUUUAUUUUUUUUUAACACUAUUACAAUAUUUCUAAUUCAAAUUCCCGUGUUCGUUGUUUCGAUGUCAUGGAAAAUUUGAUAGUACUUUGUAUUUGAAUUUAUAAAACCCAGUUUCUUCUGAAUAUAUCUGCCUUGUUUGUGUAACCGUAUGAGAUUCAAAAUGAAAUUCUUAAAACUAAAAGUCUAUUUUUAUAUCAGUGCAUCGUUGGUUGUGAUGUGACGUUAUUUUUGUAUAAUAAGGACCCACCCUUCCAAAAUAACAUAGGUUUUGUUUCUUUUUCAGAGGAGAAAACGUUUAAAUUUCAAUUGCAAUAAUUUCCAGUGAAAAGGAAAGAUUCACACUGCCAAUAGAAAUAUUAUAUUUUAUGUUGUAUUUAAAAACAUUACUUAGACUGAUUCAAAGUUUUGUAUUUUUAUGUAUGUUAUCAAAAUAAAUAUGAAUUCAAGUAUAA